RNAcentral lists this unclassified non-coding RNA (314 nucleotides) under Hevea brasiliensis (rubber tree). Lineage: Eukaryota; Viridiplantae; Streptophyta; Magnoliopsida; Malpighiales; Euphorbiaceae. The record is from RNAcentral.
GUACGUAGUUAUAUAUUCGGUAAUGAUAUCUCAACCCUUCAUUUUAAAUUGAAGGGUUGAUACUGUAUAAACAUGACAGAUAAUGUUUGCAUUAACAUGAGAGAUUCUUAAUCCUACUAAACCAGCUUAUGAUAAUCAUUCUAUUACUACUUCUUGCAAGAGGGAAAGUGGUAUUUUCUUAGCCAAACUCCCUCAUUAAAAUUCCUCGCUUCCUCAAGAAAAUGAAGCUAAAAAGUUCAUUUGAUAAGAUAGAUAGUGCUUAGGAACUAGCAGACGAGGCAUUUAAAUUCAUAGUGCGCAUUGACAUGAAAAAU